GGAGAAAUGGCCGAGUGGUCUAAGGCGCACGCCUGGAAAGUGUGUAUACUUCAAAAGGGUAUCGAGGGUUCGAAUCCCUCUUUCUCCGCAA
This 91-nucleotide transfer RNA is filed under the name Bacteroidetes bacterium GWE2_32_14. Its description in RNAcentral is "tRNA-Ser". It matches the Rfam family "tRNA". From Rfam's summary of the family: Transfer RNA (tRNA) molecules are approximately 80 nucleotides in length. Their secondary structure includes four short double-helical elements and three loops (D, anti-codon, and T loops). The record is from RNAcentral. RNAcentral also lists the same sequence under 1 other name. Lineage: Bacteria; Pseudomonadati; Bacteroidota.